AGAGUUUGAUCCUGGCUCAGGAUGAACGCUGGCGGCGUGCCUAAUACAUGCAAGUCGAGCGAACUGAUUAGAAGCUUGCUUCUAUGACGUUAGCGGCGGACGGGUGAGUAACACGUGGGCAACCUGCCUGUAAGACUGGGAUAACUUCGGGAAACCGAAGCUAAUACCGGAUAGGAUCUUCUCCUUUAUGGGAGAUGAUUGAAAGAUGGUUUCGGCUAUCACUUACAGAUGGGCCCGCGGUGCAUUAGCUAGUUGGUGAGGUAACGGCUCACCAAGGCAACGAUGCAUAGCCGACCUGAGAGGGUGAUCGGCCACACUGGGACUGAGACACGGCCCAGACUCCUACGGGAGGCAGCAGUAGGGAAUCUUCCGCAAUGGACGAAAGUCUGACGGAGCAACGCCGCGUGAGUGAUGAAGGCUUUCGGGUCGUAAAACUCUGUUGUUAGGGAAGAACAAGUACAAGAGUA
Molecule: ribosomal RNA, 467 nt
Filed under: Bacillus sp. D-31-25-1
Lineage: Bacteria; Bacillati; Bacillota; Bacilli; Caryophanales; Bacillaceae
Description: bacterial SSU rRNA
Rfam family: Bacterial small subunit ribosomal RNA
Source: RNAcentral